AUAUGAGGUAGAGGCGCAAAACGAAUGAGUAGCAUAUGGAGUUCUUGGAAGACGAUGAAAUAUGUUGAAAGGUCAAUUUGCCGAAGUGUAAGAAGAGCUCCAUCUCUUUUUAUGCUGGGCCGCUGCUGAACAAGCAACGGACUGUCACUACAACUGUAGUGGAGAGCUAUUCCGACA
Molecule: non-coding RNA, 177 nt
Organism: Fictibacillus phosphorivorans
Lineage: Bacteria; Bacillati; Bacillota; Bacilli; Caryophanales; Fictibacillaceae
Source: Rfam